This 20-nucleotide small nuclear RNA is filed under the name Arabidopsis thaliana (thale cress). RNAcentral's name for it is "snRNA_16271". The record is from RNAcentral. Lineage: Eukaryota; Viridiplantae; Streptophyta; Magnoliopsida; Brassicales; Brassicaceae.
GGCUGGAAGAGCACCGCACG